Dreissena polymorpha is the source of this 1106-nucleotide long non-coding RNA. RefSeq lists it as uncharacterized. The record is from RefSeq and is a predicted model, not a curated record. NCBI's taxonomy places the organism in Eukaryota, Metazoa, Mollusca, Bivalvia, Myida, Dreissenidae. The transcript has 2 exons.
AGAACUAUUUUGGAGGAAUAAUAAUUCACCAAACCAGGGGAAUGUGAUGCGUCUUAGUAUAGAGGUGACCAUUGUGUACACACCGGUCUAACUGACCUGUUUACUAACGCGAAAGGAAUUGUGGGUAGCACUUCUUUUGCGAGUAAAAAGUGAAAGCGAAAGUACAUGUAAGUCAUGUAAUCGUGCUUCUGAUAAUCGAUAUCAGUCUUAAUAGAGAUUCAAAAUCACAUUUAAACAUAAUUUAAUAACAUUUCUUUUUUAACACACACCCUUUCAUUAUUAACAUUUUCAUUCCUACGAAGUCCUACUUUGGCGGAAGCAUAAUUCCCCAAACCAGGGGAAUGUGAUGCGUCUUAGAAUAGAGGUGACAAUAAAGUAGUGAUGUCACCAUCUAUGUAUAGAAUGGUUCCCCACAGUUUAUUUAUGACACAAUUCUGUAACUCAAACGUCAGGCUACGUUUACGAUUGCUGAAUUUUUUAGAAGUUUAUACUAAGAAUCCCGACAGACCUACAUGGCUCCUCAUUGUUUUUAAGUCGUUUUCGUCGUUUUUGUUGCUUGUUUGUCAAAAACAAUAUAUUUUAACUUGUGUUUUGUUGCUUGUUUUUCAAACACACAAUAUAUUUUAACUUGUGUUUUUUAUUUCUUUUUUCAAACAAGAUAUAUUUUCACUUGUUUUUUUUGCUUGUUUAUCAACCACAAUCUAAUAUCCUGUGUGUGUUUGUAUUGUUCGUUUUUCAAACACAAUAUAUUUUCAUGUGUGUGUGUUUUCUUGUAUAUAUUUCGAACACUAUAUUAUUCUCAUUCGCAGCCGAUGGUCUUUUGGAGAAGCCCGAAUUCGAACACUACUAUACAACAAUUUUGAGGCAACUGUUCCCCUGCCACGGAAACGGAGGUGGAAAAUAACGCAUUGUAUUGUGUAAUAUUCUCAACUCGAUUAUGACUCCAAAAAUUUAGUUUUAUGUAACCUUUAUUGAGACUGACAUUAAGCCUGGUUGAGUCUGACUUUCCUCUCGAAGUACAUUAUUUUGAUUCUGACUUGAAAUAUUUUGGUUUUUAGUGAUGUAUGUUUGUCGAUAUUGCCAUAAUAAAUGCGAUACAAAAUGCC